UACGGAGGGUGCAAGCGUUACUCGGAAUCACUGGGCGUAAAGCGAGCGCAGGCGGUUGCUUAGGUCUGAUGUGAAAGCCUUCGGCUUAACCGAAGAAGUGCAUCGGAAACCGGGCAACUUGAGUGCAGAAGAGGACAGUGGAACUCCAUGUGUAGCGGUGGAAUGCGUAGAUAUAUGGAAGAACACCAGUGGCGAAAGCGGCUCUCUGGUCUGUAACUGACGCUGAGGUUCGAAAGCGUGGGUAGCAAACAGG
RNAcentral lists this ribosomal RNA (253 nucleotides) under uncultured Lactobacillus sp. RNAcentral's name for it is "partial 16S ribosomal RNA". It matches the Rfam family "Bacterial small subunit ribosomal RNA", at positions 524 to 776 of the family's 1533-position model. The record is from RNAcentral. Lineage: Bacteria; Bacillati; Bacillota; Bacilli; Lactobacillales; Lactobacillaceae.